Molecule: long non-coding RNA, 885 nt
Organism: Daphnia magna
Lineage: Eukaryota; Metazoa; Arthropoda; Branchiopoda; Diplostraca; Daphniidae
Exons: 4
Source: RefSeq, a predicted model, not a curated record
AUAUUAAUAUCCAUUAAAUAUAUUUUUCUAUUUUUUACUUCAGUAGAACGUACCUUGUGUUACUGGGUCAUUGGGGCUGGCUCCACACGCAAUGAGUAUUCUUAAAUCAUCCUGCAAAACGAAGGAAACAACGGAACUUCCCCAUCAUAGCUCGAUUGGCGUUUCUCCGUCGUAGCAUCAUGGGAAGCGGUGCCCAGAGACAGCAGCACAUGAUACACACACCGCCGACGAUGUGAAAACAAACAGCAAAACUUCCCGUUAACACCUGAAUGUAGCCUGCAACCGAUUGGAUGAGUAAAGAAAUUUUGUUUAAACUAAAACGUUUUUAGGUUUGUAAAAGUAACGUACCGAUAAUGAUAAUUCCUGGAAAAACGAUUAAUCCACCGAUGAAAAGAUUGAGACCGAAAGCGGCUGCUAGUUUAUCCAUGCCAAGGGUUUGGACAAUCACCACCACUUGCAUACCAGUAAUUCCUCCAACCCCAAUGCCGUAGAUGAUGCAGCUAAUUACCAUGCCAACGAAAUCAGUGGAAAAUGCCAGAGCUAAAACGUACAACGACAGAUGGCAAAUUCGAUUAAAAAGACGGUGAGGGUCGUAAUGUAUUUGGAAAAUUUGCCAGCCAGGAUGGGAAUAGCGAGACGGGCAACAGUAUCUGACGCUGCAAGAAUGGUAACCAGUGAUGCAGCCGCUGUUGGGGGAACUCCCACACUUUGAGCAAAUGAUGGAACUAGGACAUUGAAUUGUUGGUUUAAAUCGAGAAUGCUGGAAGCUGGUGGACACCGUGGCAUGAACUGGAGCCAUUUUGGUCGUUUGUCAAUUUGUGUGCGAGUCUUCAACUGUUUUCUCAUCUGUCCCAGCGACAUAGUAACUGGCAUCUCAUGGGCUAU